UAAAGCUGUCCAACUAAGUUCUUGAGAAUGAUUGAUGGAAUGAAGUUGGAAGAAAUUUAGAAAUUUGGAGAAGGAUCUCAAGAGGACUUCGAGGGAACUCCCGGCGAAGCGUUUUAGAGCUAAUUUCU
This is a non-coding RNA of Coffea arabica (coffee), 128 nucleotides long. NCBI's taxonomy places the organism in Eukaryota, Viridiplantae, Streptophyta, Magnoliopsida, Gentianales, Rubiaceae. The record is from RefSeq and is a predicted model, not a curated record.